CCUACGGGAGGCAGCAGUGGGGAAUAUUGCACAAUGGGGGAAACCCUGAUGCAGCGACGCCGCGUGAGCGAAGAAGUAUUUCGGUAUGUAAAGCUCUAUCAGCAGGGAAGAAAAUGACGGUACCUGAGUAAGCAGCUCCGUCGAAGUACUUGCCAGCCGCCGCGGUACUACGGCUGCAGCAAGCGUUAGCCGGCUUUACGUGGCGUAAAGGGAGCGUAUGCGGGCUGCCAAGUCUGAUGUUAAGUACCGGGGUUCAACCCCGGGGCUGCAUUGGAAACUGGCAGGCUGGAGUGCCGGAGAGGCAGGCGGAAUUGCUAGGGUAGCGGUGAAAUGCGUAGAUAUUAGGAGGAACACCUGUGGCGAUGGCGGCCUGCUGGACGGUGACUGACGCUGAGGCUCGAAAGCGUGGGGAGCAAACAGGAUUAGAUACCCCUGUAGUC
RNAcentral lists this ribosomal RNA (440 nucleotides) under uncultured bacterium. RNAcentral's name for it is "partial 16S ribosomal RNA". It matches the Rfam family "Bacterial small subunit ribosomal RNA", at positions 338 to 795 of the family's 1533-position model. The record is from RNAcentral.